GAAUGGAGGAAGUAUGAUAAUGUGCACAUAAAUUAAAUUGGGUCUUUAGGCAUGUCCUCUCUGAUGCCAUUUGACUUUGAUUUGGGGGCAUAGUUCCUCAGCAAAACA
Molecule: small nucleolar RNA, 108 nt
Organism: Rhododendron vialii
Lineage: Eukaryota; Viridiplantae; Streptophyta; Magnoliopsida; Ericales; Ericaceae
Product: small nucleolar RNA snoR100
Exons: 1
Source: RefSeq, a predicted model, not a curated record